Molecule: ribosomal RNA, 875 nt
Filed under: Acinetobacter sp. SENDO1
Lineage: Bacteria; Pseudomonadati; Pseudomonadota; Gammaproteobacteria; Moraxellales; Moraxellaceae
Description: partial 16S ribosomal RNA
Rfam family: Bacterial small subunit ribosomal RNA (bases 7-506)
Source: RNAcentral
CACGGAACGCUGCGGCAGGCUUAACACAUGCAAGUCGAGCGGAGAGAGGUAGCUUGCUACUGAUCUUAGCGGCGGACGGGUGAGUAAUGCUUAGGAAUCUGCCUAUUAGUGGGGGACAACAUUUCGAAAGGAAUGCUAAUACCGCAUACGUCCUACGGGAGAAAGCAGGGGAUCUUCGGACCUUGCGCUAAUAGAUGAGCCUAAGUCGGAUUAGCUAGUUGGUGGGGGUAAAGGCCUACCAAGGCGACGAUCUGUAGCGGUCUGAGAGGAUGAUCCGCACACUGGGACUGAGACACGGCCCAGACUCCUACGGGAGGCAGCAGGUGGGGAAUAUUGGACAAUGGCCCAAGCCUGACCACCAUGCCGCGUGUGUGAAGAAGCCUUAUGUUGUAAACCUUUAAGCGAGGAGGGGCUACUUAGUUAAUACCUAAAGAAAGGGACGUUCUCCCAAAAGAAGCCCCGGUUAAUUUUGGCCACCGGCCGGGUAAUACAAAGGGGGCAAGCGUAUUCGAAUUUACUGGCAUAAAGCGCCCUAGGCCGCUUAAUUAAGCUAAAUAGUAAACCCCCGGCUUUAAUUAGGAAAUGCCUUCCAAGCUGGUUAUCUGAAAGGGAGGAAAAAGUAGGAAAAAAUCCAAGGGGGGCGGGGAAAACCCGUAAAAAUUUUAGGGGGAAACCCCGGGGGGGAAAGGGGGGCUUUUUGGGCCCAAAAAUUAACCCUUGAGGGGCGAAAAACUUUGGGGGGACCAAAAAAGGCAAAAAAAUACCCGUGGGGGGCCCCCCGCCCGAAAAAAAUAUUUUUAAAAGCCCCGGGGGGGCCUUUUAGGGGAUUUUAAGGGGACCCCCCCCCCCCCCAAAAAAAACAACCCCCUUGGCGG